GUGUAAGUAAUCAAAGUGAUUGUUAGGGAUGCCUAGCGAAUAUUCAUUGAAAGGAGGUGGCAACACCAAAAGCUAUAGUCAUCAGAUAUCUAUAGCGAUCCUAAGGGAAACCAAAUACAUAGUACGCAGUGAACUGAAACAUCUAAGUAACUGUAGGAAAGGAAAUCAACCGAGACUCCAGAAGUAGUGGCGAGCGAAACUGGACUAGCCUAUUAAUUUAUCUCUUGACAGAAUACUUUGGAAUAAGUAAUCCGAAGAAGGUGAUAGCCCUGUACGUUAAGAAUAAAUAAUUAAACAAGUAAUGUGGGAGAAAACCUGCAUGAAGAUUGGGGAACCAUCCUCAAAGGCUAAGUAUGAAUAUUCAGCGAUAGUGAAGAGUACCGUGAGGGAAAGGUGAAAAGAGCGUCGAUGACGAGUGAAAUAGAUUCUGAACUAGCAAUCAUAUAAGCAGUUAGAGCAUGGUCAAAAUGAAAAUGUGAUAACGUACCUUUUGUAUAAUGGAUGGGCGAGUUUAUAGUAGUAGCAAGGUUAAUAACCCCAGCGAAAGCGACUGACUAGUAAUACUAGUGCGGGACAUAGUUACUAUUAUAAGACCCGAAACAAGAUGAUCUAUCCUUGGCCAGACUAGUAAAUAGGUCGAACGGUUCAAUGUUGCAGUAUUGUCCGAUGAGCUGAGGAUUGUAGGUGAAAGGCCAAUCUGAUCUUGAUAUAGCUGGUAUUCCACGAAACGUAUUUAGGUACGGCCCUUUGUGUAGAUUAAUGCAGGUACAGCACUGAUUGCCAUACUUGAGUCUGGUUCGCCAGACUUAGGUUCAAUUGGGGGAUCGUGAGAUUCUACCAUUGGUAGUUAACCUCGGAAUUACAUUAAUUGGUCCAGAGGUGACAGACUGCUCAUGAUAAGGUGGGUAGUCGAGACGGAAACAGCCGUGAGCAUAGAAUAAAGAAGGUCCCAAAAUAGUGGUUAAGUGAAAUUAAGGUAGGUCGUAACUCCUAUACAGCUAUAAAAUGUGCUUGGAAGUAGCAAUUUUUUAAUGAAAGUGUAACAACUUAGUAGUCUAAUGAGUUAUGGCGCCGAAGAUUAACGGGUCUUAGACCACUUACCGAAACUAUGCCGUCUAGAUCUUAAUGAGAUAUAGAUAGAGUAGUGGAACAUUCAGCGUGGUUGAAGGGAAGUGUUUCAUUUCCUGGACAUAGCUGAAGAGAAAAUGCCCAUAUGAGUAACGUAGAAAGAAGCUAUAAUGCUUCUCGCCGAAUGAGAGAGGGUUCCAUAGAAAUGUUAAACAGCUAUGGGUUAAAACGGCCUCUAAGGUUUGUGGCUAAUGCUACCUACUGAUGAGUUUAUCACAGAAAAUCCAGUAAUAACUGGGUCAGGAAAAUAAUGUGAUUGAUUACCGUACCCUAAACCGACACAGGUUCUCGGGUAGAGUAUACUAAGGCGAUGAGAUAAUGCUAUAUAAGGAACUCGGCAAACUACAUCCGUACACUCGAUAAGAAGGAUGACCAUGGCCUAUUAGGUUCAUGGUGGCACAAAAUCGAGAGGCAUAACUGUUUACCAAAAACACAGGCAUCUGCUAUAUUGAAAUAAUGUUGUAUAGGUGCUGAAUCUUGUCCAAUGCCAUGAGUAUAAUGUUGGUGCGAGUAUCGUAUCUGACAGAACCUCUGGUCAAUGACAGUCUUAACUAUAAGGAUUCUAAGGUAGCGAAAUUCCUUGGCCAUUAAAUGUGGUCCUGCAUGAAUAGAGUAAUAAUGCCUCUGCUGUCUCAUAUAGUAUCUCAGUGAAAUUGAAUUAGCCGUGAAGAUGCGGUUUACGUGUGGGUAGACGGGAAGACCCUAUGCAGCUUUACUAUAACUAGUCGUCGUUCUGAGCCAAGUCAGGUGUAGAGUAGAAGGGAGUCGUAAGACGCAAAUGAAACACCUUUACUGAUUUGAGUACGGAACUUAUCUGAUAAAGAAACAACGACUGGCGGGUAGUUUAACUGGGACGGUUUCCUCCAAUAUAGUAUCGGAGGACUUCAAAGGUAUGCUUAAAUUAGAUGGAAACUAAUUUGCUAUGUAGAGCAAAAGAAAGUGUAAAGGCAUAAGCAUGCUUGACUGUAAGACUGACAAGUCGAGCAGGUACGUAAGUAGGACUUAGUGAUCCGGUGAUUUUGAAUGGAGAAGUCAUCGCUCAAGGAAUAAAAGUUACGCUAGGGAUAACAGGGUAAUAGCGCGCGAGAGUUCAUAUUGUCCGCGCUGUUUGCCACCUCGAUGUCGACUCACCUUAUCCUUCCGGUGCAUAAGCUGGAAAGGGUUCUGCUGUUCGCAGAUUAAAAAGGUACGCGAGUUGGGUUCAAUACGAUGAGAGUCAGUAUGGUUCCUAUCUUCCACACGAACGAGUAAUCGACUCUGGACGGGUCUUUAGUACGAAAGGACUUAGAUCUGCGUUCCUAUGGUGUACCAAUUGUUGGCACAAAAGCUGGCAUCGUUGGGUAGCUACGAACGUAAAGGAUAAACGCUGAAAGCAUAUAAGCCUGAAGCCUACCAGAAGAGAUUAUAUAAGGCUAGAAGUAGACUACUUCUUGAUAGGUCACAUGUGUACGCAUCGUGAGAUGUUCAGCUUAGUGAUACUAAUUAGCCAUAUUACUUACACCU
Molecule: ribosomal RNA, 2631 nt
Filed under: Dioszegia hungarica
Lineage: Eukaryota; Fungi; Basidiomycota; Tremellomycetes; Tremellales; Bulleribasidiaceae
Description: Bacterial large subunit ribosomal RNA
Rfam family: Bacterial large subunit ribosomal RNA
Source: Rfam by way of RNAcentral